UAAAUCAUAAAUGUGAAAAAAAUUCACCUUCCUUACAAUCUAGCAAACACACGACGUAAAACCUGGUGAAAGAUGUUCAUCCGGUGGUUGUACAAUCAAUAUCAACCAUUGUUGUCAUAUUAACGAUGUGUCAACUCCUCUCGAAGCCCCAUUUUUAGUUUUUUCUCACAUAAUUUUAAAAGGGUCAAUUACAUAUAAGUCUAUUUAGAGACAUUUUCUCCCAUAUAAGUUCACCUAAACAUUUUUACCUAUAGAAGUCCACCCAAUCAUAAAUAGAGUCUUAUAUUAGGUAUUAAAGUUCAACAAAAUUACAGACUGCCAUCCAACCAAAAAAAUUAGAUUUUCUCUCUUAUAUUUACAAAAAUACCACUAAUGUAAAAAGUCAACAAUCACAAAUGGUCUCCGGUUGACCUCCGGGGAGGUCUCCGGCCGACCUCCGGCGAACUUUCCAGCCGACCAUCUGUGAGGAUUCUAGCGACCACAAAAGUUACUACCACUGACAAAAAAAACUACUACCACUGACAACAAAAGAUACUACCGAUAGAAAAAAAAAUUACUGCCACCAGCAAAGAAAGCUACUACCGAUAGCAACAAAAACUACUACCACUAACAACAAAAUAUACUACCGAUAGCAAAAGAGGCUACUGCCACCAACAAAGAAAACUACUACCGAUAGCAACAAAAGCUACUACCGCCAGCAAAAAAAGCUACUACCACUGACAACAAAAAAUACUGUCACCAUCAACAAAAACUACUAUCACAGGCUAUAAAAGCUACUACCAUCGGCUAUAAAAGCUACUAUGGUGAGAUUUCUGACAACCUCCGGUAAGGUCACAAAAGAUAUUAUCACUGGUAACAAAAAAUACUACCGAACAUAACAAAAACUACUACCACCAGCUACAAAAGCUACUAUGCUGAGAUUCCAAUGACCUUCGGCAAGGUCACAAAAGAUAUUGUCACCAGCUAUAAAAGAUACUACCGAGUAUAUGAAAAGUUACUGUCACCAACAAAAAAAGCUACUAUUUCAAGCUAUAAAAGAUACUACCAAGCAAAUGAAAAACUACUACAAGGUAGAACAAAAGCUACUGCCACCACCUAUAAAAGAUACUACCGAACAUAUGAAAAACUACUACCAAGCAGAACAAAAGCUACUGUCACCAACAAAAAAAUCUACUAUCACCAACAAAAAAAUCUACUAUCUACUAUCACCAACUAUAAAAGCUACUACCCCUAGUUACAAAAGUUACUACAAAGAGAUUUCCAAUAACCUCUGACGAAGUCAUAAAAGAUACUGUCGUCAGCAACAAAAACUAUUACCGCAAGUAACAAAAGCUACUACCACCAUCAACAAAAACUACUACCACAAUCAACAAAUUAAAACUAUUACCUCCAAACAAAACCAAUAGCUAAUGUUUUCGGCAACAAAAUCUACUACCAAGCAUAAUGAAAGCUAUUACCAAUGUGUCAAAAAUAGACAAUCACAGUGGGGAAAAUAUACUAUCACAAUGAUGAAAAUGUACUAUCGCAUUGUUCAAAAUAUACUAUCAUACAAUGAGGCCGAAACAUACUUAUGAAUCUCAUUUCAUUCAUCUCCCACAUUAUCAGAACAUGAUUCUGUGCAUGAUUUCUCACACUCACUAUCAAAUUAACAGAAAACAUCAUCCUAAUCUUUGUUUACAUUUUCUAAAAACCAAAGAAACGAAUUGUAGCAAAUUUACACUCAGAAUUUUACCAGAACAGUCACCUCCAGGCGAUAUCUUUGAAGCGGCGUCGUCCAGGACUUGUCAUCGAGUCAGCAGCGGAGUCCAAGCUGUACGGAUCUCGAAUCGCCAGCAGAAGGCGAUCAUAGCCGUCAAGGACCAGACGAGCCACGGGAUGAGCCGGCGAGCCAUCUGGUUUCAGAGAUCCCGUCGAGGUCAAAUCAGAAGUUGUCAUCGAUGGAAUUGGACGUAAUAGACGUCGAGGUCAGGAGCGACGUCGAGGUCGAGGCGUCGUCGUCGAGCCGGCAGCGUCGAGGUCGAGGUCGAGGUCGAGGUCGAGGUCAAGGCGUCGUCGUCGAUCUCGCGACAUCGAGGUCGAGGCGUUGUCGAUCUGGCAACAUUGAGGUCGAGGCGUCGUCGUUGAGCCGGCGGCAUCGAGGUCGAGGUCAAGGCUUUGUCGUCGAUCUGGCGACGUCGAGGUUGAGCCUGCUUCCUCGUCAUCUAUCAAGCGGUGCCAAGCCAUCGUCGUCGAGCUGGUGUUGGCCUGAGACGCCGCCAUGGCCGGAUAUUCGAGACCGGAGAAGAGAGGGUGGAGGAACACGAAGAGAGAGAGAGAGAGAGAGAGAGAGAGAGAGAGAGAGAGAGAGAGAGAGAGAGAGAGAGAGAGAGAGAGAGAGAGAGAGAGAGAGAGAGAGAGAGAUGGAGAGAAGUGAAAAGGACGUGAGAAGAAGAGAGAAAAAUUUAUUUGCAGGGAAAUAGGGUAUUUUAGGAACAUCGUAAAUAUAAAAUGACAGGUUUAGGUUUAAAAGUGGACUUAUAUGGGUAAAAAUAAUAAGGUGGACUUGUGUUACAAAAAAUGUUACGAAAGUGACUUUAGUGAAAUUUUCUAAUUUUAAAACUAAAAAAUGGUCAUUAAACAAAUAUCUUUCUAAUAUUUAAUUGUUUCAUUUCAAGUUAUUGUUACCGAUCAACUUGAUUGUCUGUAAAGAUGUACCAGACAGACAGUGUCUUCUGUUCCAAAGUUCACCCUGCCUCUAAUGCUCAUAAAAUAUUUGAAUUGCUUGCGUACCUAAUGCUAUGGAAACAAUAUCUAGUUUUGACGUUUUGGAUCUGUUAUAGGAGGAGAGCAACCUUGUCAAAAAAGUCAUUAAACAAAUAUCUUUUCAUUGUUUAACUGCUUCCAAUAUCUCACUUGCUUAUGUGCUACCUAAUGCCAUGUAAUGAAAUAGGUAGCUUUGAUGUUUUGGAUAUGUUAUAGGAAGGGAACAGCUAUAUAUGCAGAGUCCUUUCAUGCAAUAUCCAAGAGCCUUCAUGUUGAUUUACUAUUUGCUGAUUGGUCAAUAUCACGUUAAUCAUAUUACUCUUAUCCUAUCACAAUUUCAAUAUACAUGAGAAAAAGCUAAGUAACAUUUGGUCUAGCGGCAUAGUCUUCUUUUAGUAAGCAGGAGGUUGUAAGUUUGACUCACGAAAUACUAAUUGUAGUAUUUAAGUUGUUUACCAGAUCAAAAAUAAAACAUACAUGAGAAAAAAGAAUUGAAAGAAAGCCCCAUGAAAAAUAUGAAAAUUUUUGUUACCUCAUAGCUAGCUAUCAAUUGAUUGGUAUUGUAAGUAAUUCUAUCAACAGAAGUAGAGCAAAAAACGACUCCACGUCGAUGGGGUAUCGCCAUGGAAGCUUCGAAGAAAUGAACAUCCCCGUAUUGUAAGUAGGGUUUGUCUAGUAUCACCUUCAGAAUCCACAUCCACACGCAGCCUCAGAUAAGAGCUUCUUCCGUAAACGUUAAUUAACGCGUUGAUUUUUGUUUACCCACCCAACGCGUUCUCGCCAUAUCUCCUUCCUUAUUAUACACAAUCCCUCUCAGCACACCAUUUCCUUGAUCAUUUCCCACUUUCCCUCUUCCCCUUAUAUAAACCUCUCACUUCUCCUCACCUUUCUCACAUUCCACUCUUCUUUUACCUCUUUCGUUUCAUUCACUAGUUUUCCACAAAGUCUUCUCUCUUAUCUUAGCUUCAGCUUCCAUGUCGGAGAAACAAGCAGGCUUGAAUGGCUCCUACUACGGCCCAUCCAUCCCGCCCAAGAGGGACUCCUACCAAAGCGUCGGCCGCGGCGGAGGUCCCCUCGGCUGCUGCUGCAGCUGCAUCUUCGGCCUCGUCUUCAAGCUCAUCUUCACCGCCAUCGUCUUCAUGGGACUCGCCUUCUUCGUCUUCUGGCUCAUAGUUAAACCUAACCGCGUCAAGUUUCACGUCACCGACGCCACUCUCACCCAAUUCAACUUCUCCUCUGACAGCAACCUCCACUACAACCUCGCCCUCAACCUCACCAUCCGAAACCCUAACAAGAAGCUCGGCAUCUACUACGAUCGCAUCGAGGCCAGAGCCAACUACGAGGGCCAGAGGUUCAGCACGAUCACUCUCACCCCGUUUUACCAAGGACACAAAACCACCAACGUUUUGAACCCUCUGUUUACUGGACAGCAGUUGCUUGUUGGGUCCAAUUUGCAGUCGGAGUAUCAGAAGCAGACCAGUGCUGGGGUAUACGAGAUUGAGAUGAAGCUUUAUCUGAGGAUUAGGUUCAAGUUCGGUCGGAUCAAGACCGGAAAGUUCAAACCCAGAGUUGAAUGUGACUUGAAGGUUCCUUUGAGUACGAAUGGCAAUUCCGCAACUACCUUCGAGACCAAGCGGUGCAAGAUUGAUUACUUUAAAGCCAUCUAGCUGGUCAUCCAUGGCGGCCGAGGAGGAGAUCCUUUCUUGUUGAUACAGUCUUCUUCUUAUCUUUUCGCUUCUGCUUUGUGAUUUUUCAUACCAGACACUAUUCUUUUGUUUCUUUUUUUGGCGUUACGAUUACUGUUACAUAUCAUAUGUACACUGAUUAUGAGUAUAUGAUGAUGACGAUUUAGUGAUCAGAUCUUUGGAUUAUAAAUAAAUGACGAUUUUAGUGGUUAGUGCUUUGCUAUCUCAUGACGCUUGUGAUGUCUGGUUUAUACACCUUUUCAACGUCUCCAUGCUUUUUCUAUGCUUUCAAAGCUAUAAACGUUAAAAGUCUUCGGUAAUUUACAAUUAUUUUUAAAGUCAUUGUCUAUGAGUCAAUGACUACGCGGAGAUUGGGACCAAACUUAAAAUAAAAUAAAAUGACCAAUUCAAUUGAAAGCCGCUACCUAUGCCAAUUACAUAAAAAUCUAUUUGAAGACAUUUUCUCCCAUAUAGGUCCACCUAAAUAUUUUUACCCACAUAAGUCCACCCAAAUCUAAAUACAGUCUUAUAUUAGGUAUUAAAGUUCAACAAAAUUACAAACUGCCAUCCAACCAAAAAAUUAGAAUUUCUCUCUUAUAUUUACAAAAAUGCCAUUAAUGUAAAAAGUCAACAACCACAAAUAGUCUCCGAUUGACCUCCGGCGAGGUCUCCGGCCGACCUCCGACGAACUUUCCGGCCAACCUUCGGUAAACUUUCCGGCCGACCAUCUGUGAGGAUUCUAGCGACCACAAAACCUACUACCACUGACAACAAAAGAUACUACUACCGACAAAGAAAGUUACUACCACUGAUAACAAAAGAUACUACCAAUAGCAAAAAGAACUACUGCCACCAGCAAAAAAAGCUAUUACCGAUAGCAACGAAAGCUACUACCACUAAUAAAGAAAGCUACUACCACUGACAACAAAAUAUACUACCAAUAGCAAAAAAACUACUGCCAUCAGCAAAGAAAGCUACUACCGAUAGCUAAAAAAGCUACUGCCACCAGCAACAAAAGCUACUACCGAUAGCAACAAAAGCUACUACCGCCACCAACAAAAGCUACUACCGCCACCAACAAAAGCUACUACCGCCACCAACAAAAAAACUAUUGUCAGCAACAACAAAAAUACCACCGCCAGCAGCCAGAGGUACUACUGCCACCAACAAAAGAUACUACCACAACCAAUAAAAAAUACUAUCGCCACCAACAAAAACUACUACCACCAGCAACAAAAUCUACUCAUAAGAGAUUGAGAAAAAUACUAGCAUAGAAGUUGAAAACGCUUUGAUUGUAUAUACAAAAUAUUAUUAUCGUGUUGAAAAGAUACUAGUACAGAUAUUAAAAAAAUACUAAAAUUAUGUAACUUUUUACAAUGAUAUAAUUAUGUAUAAAGCUACUUCUGUACUUUAAAAAAGCUACUGUUAUAGUUUAGAAAGUUUACUACAAUAGUUU
This 5883-nucleotide long non-coding RNA is filed under the name Fragaria vesca (wild strawberry). RNAcentral describes it as "long non-coding RNA (FVES_LNC003098)". The record is from RNAcentral. Lineage: Eukaryota; Viridiplantae; Streptophyta; Magnoliopsida; Rosales; Rosaceae.